This 524-nucleotide ribosomal RNA is filed under the name uncultured bacterium. Its description in RNAcentral is "bacterial SSU rRNA". It matches the Rfam family "Bacterial small subunit ribosomal RNA", at positions 96 to 633 of the family's 1533-position model. The record is from RNAcentral.
CGGCGAACGGGUGAGUAACACGUGAGAAACCUACCCCUUCAUUCCGGAUAAUUGGAAGAAAUUCCUUGUAAUACGGGGGAGGAUGCAACCGUGGCAUCACGGAUGUAUCGAACAAGCAAUUGGUGCAGGGACGGUCUCGCGGCUUAUCAGGUAGUUGGUGGGGUAACGGCCUACCAAGCCUACGACGAGUAGCUGGUCUGAGAGGAUGGUCAGCCACAUUGGAACUGAGACACUGUCCAGACUCCUACGGGAGGCUGCAGUCGAGAAUCUUGGGCAAUGCACGAAAGUGUGACCCAGCGACGCCGCGUGAAGGAUGAAGGCCCUCUGGGUCGUAAACUUCUUUUAUGGGAGAAGAAACAAUGACGGUAUCCCGUGAAUAAGCCACGGCUAACUACGUGCCAGCAGCCGCGGUAAUACGUAGGUGGCAAGCGUUGUCCGGAUUUACUGGGCGUAAAGCGAGCGCAGGCGGAUGGCUAAGUAGGAAGUGAAAGGUUGGAGCUCAACUCCAACAUUGCUUCCUAUAC